GACAGAGGUGCCGAGCGUUAGGCGGAAUCACUGGGCUUAAAGCGUGUGUAGGCGGCUCGUUAAGUGUCUUGUGAAAUCCCCCGGCUCAACCGGGGAACUGCUGGGCAUACUGGCGAUCUUGAGCGGCCUAGGGGCAGAUGGAACAAGUGGUGGAGCGGUGAAAUGCGUAGAUAUCACUUGGAACGCCAAAGGUGAAAACAGUCUGCUGGGGGCCUGCUGACGCUGAGACACGAAAGCCAGGGGAGCGAACGGG
Molecule: ribosomal RNA, 253 nt
Filed under: uncultured bacterium
Lineage: Bacteria
Description: partial 16S ribosomal RNA
Rfam family: Bacterial small subunit ribosomal RNA
Source: RNAcentral